AACGUAGGUGGCGAGCGUUAUCCGGAUUUACUGGGCGUAAAGGGUGUGCAGGCGGGCUGUUAAGUGGGGUCUGAAAUAUCCCGGCUCAACCGGGAAGGGUUAUGCCAGACUGGCAGUCUAGAGAGCGAGAGAGGGACGUGGAAUUCCGGGUGUAGUGGUGAAAUUCGUAGAUAUUCGCAAGAACACCAGUGGCGAAGGCGGCUCACUGGCCCGAUACUGACGCUGAGGUGCGAAAGCGUGGGGAGCAAACAGG
This 253-nucleotide ribosomal RNA is filed under the name uncultured bacterium. RNAcentral's name for it is "partial 16S ribosomal RNA". It matches the Rfam family "Bacterial small subunit ribosomal RNA", at positions 524 to 776 of the family's 1533-position model. The record is from RNAcentral.